GGGUUUGUAGCUCAGCUGGUUAGAGCACACGCUUGAUAAGCGCGGGGUCGGAGGUUCAAGUCCUCCUAGACCCACCA
This 77-nucleotide transfer RNA is filed under the name Neisseria meningitidis NM3001. Its description in RNAcentral is "tRNA-Ile". It matches the Rfam family "tRNA". Rfam says of the family: Transfer RNA (tRNA) molecules are approximately 80 nucleotides in length. Lineage: Bacteria; Pseudomonadati; Pseudomonadota; Betaproteobacteria; Neisseriales; Neisseriaceae. The record is from RNAcentral.